GUGGGGAAUUUUGGACAAUGGGCGAAAGCCUGAUCCAGCAAUGCCGCGUGCAGGAUGAAGGCCCUCGGGUUGUAAACUGCUUUUGUACGAAACGAAAAGCCUGGGGCUAAUAUCCCCGGGUCAUGACGGUACCGUAAGAAUAAGCACCGGCUAACUACGUGCCAGCAGCCGCGGUAAUACGUAGGGUGCAAGCGUUAAUCGGAAUUACUGGGCGUAAAGCGUGCGCAGGCGGUUUUGUAAGACAGUGGUGAAAUCCCCGGGCUCAACCUGGGAACUGCCAUUGUGACUGCAAGGCUAGAGUGCGGCAGAGGGGGAUGGAAUUCCGCGUGUAGCAGUGAAAUGCGUAGAUAUGCGGAGGAACACCGAUGGCGAAGGCAAUCCCCUGGGCCUGCACUGACGCUCAUGCACGAAAGCGUGGGGAGCAAACAGGAUUAGAAACCCUGGUAGUCC
RNAcentral lists this ribosomal RNA (450 nucleotides) under uncultured bacterium. Its description in RNAcentral is "partial 16S ribosomal RNA". It matches the Rfam family "Bacterial small subunit ribosomal RNA", at positions 354 to 796 of the family's 1533-position model. The record is from RNAcentral.